This 7046-nucleotide long non-coding RNA is filed under the name Brassica rapa (field mustard). RNAcentral's name for it is "long non-coding RNA (BRAP_LNC001445)". Lineage: Eukaryota; Viridiplantae; Streptophyta; Magnoliopsida; Brassicales; Brassicaceae. The record is from RNAcentral.
AACUAAGGUGAGGACUUGUCUGUGAACUUUUCUCAAGAUUCCUAACAUCGUAUAGUAUUAGGGUCUAGCUGGUACGGGCUUGAUUGAUUGAUUGAUUGAUGAUUGAACUCAGUGAUGAGAUUAAUGUGUGAUAAUGGUAAAUGAUGAAAGAACCUAGUUGAACUAGGAAAAAGAAAGAAAGAAAGAAAGAAAGAAAAGAAAGAAAGAAAGAAAUGAGAAUGAGUCUAGAAAGACUAAGAAAAAGAACUAAGAAAUGAAUGAAAUACGAUCCACCGAGGAACUGGUGGGAAGUAUGGGAAACGCGGCGGCCGUAGCGUUCAAAAACGGCGGAGAUGCGGGGCCAUAGCAUCCGAUAAAAAUGGCAGGGUAAGAAUAGAGGCGCCGGUAAGAUUGAGUCACGCCGAGUCUUGGCGGGAAAGGGUCGUAAUACACUGCAAAGACGGACCGAACCCGAGGAACUGGGCGGCGGUCCUACCAGGGCAGGCGACUCCACAGGAAGCAGCAAGAAAAGGGGAGGAAUGGUCCGCUUGAGCUGUGUAGGUCCUAGGUGUCUAGGAUGAUGAAAUAUGAACUUGCUGGUUUUUAUUAGUUUAUUCCUUAAUGCUUGCUGUGUUAUGUGUUUUGAUAUGAGUUAACGGGUUCCUGGAACCCGUUGUCACUGAGUAUUUCCCCAAAUGCUCACCCCUCCUUCUGCAGGUACGAUCGGGGAGACGCAGGAGUGAAGUCGGAGUGGUGCCGGUUCUUGGGUCGGGAUAAGCUUUUAUUUAGUACUUUAAAACUGUGUUUCGUUCCAAAGACUAGUAUGCGAAUCUGUUUUCUAAAGAUUUUCCUAAGGUUUUAAGAAAUAAAAGACUACAAGUUGGUUCCUCAUUUUCCUUAAGUUAUGCAUUUCAAAAAGGGGACAGUAAGGGUUACACAAGGAAUGUCCAAAGGUAGACAUGUGUACCCUUAACCCGUCCUGGGAACCCCAGAAUGAUCUGGGGAAGGGACGGGUCUUUCAAUUGGUAUCAGAGCCAGGUUAAAACCCGUCCGGUUCCGUCCGGAUGGGUACUGGCAGUCAAACCUUGUAUUUUAGUAGGACGUAUUUUAAUCAAUUCUUUUGGGGAUGGGUCUUUUCCUCUUAAGGCAUCACUUCGGCUGAAUCCUGCACUACCCGAUAAGGUAUAAGAAUUUUAUGCUACUUAACUGCCAGUACUUAACAAUUUCGUUAUGACAGGAUGCCUCCCAGGAACGCCAGACUAGCUCAGCCCACAACCACAGCUCAGAGAGCAGCCAGGCGGGCUGCCAGAGCCGCGUCGCAGGCUACCAGCGACAACGGAAGUCAUGCCGGGGAUGGUGUGGAAGAGAACCAGGUGAAUGGACCUGCCCAAGGAGGUCAAGUGAACGGACCAGCCCAAGGGCAAGGCCAGGCCGCCAUGGACGCUGCGGCAGUGGAAGAACUGCGGAGGUACCGGGAAGCUUACGGGGGUAGACUGCCCGGGGAAGGUGCCGCGGGCGGAAGACUCGCACCACCCCUAGCGGUGCCCGCCGCUGACCACGUGCCCUCCUACUGGGACAUGAUGAAGCAGCUAAAAAGCAUGCAGAUGGAAAUGUUCAGCGGGGGAGCCGACCCGAUCGCCGCAGAAAACUGGAGGAGGAAGCUGGAAAAGAACUUCCUCUCGGCCAGGUGCCCACCAGAGUACCGUAGAGACUUGGCUACCCACCACCUAAAGGACGACGCCUUGGUCUGGUGGGAUUGUGUGGUGGACGGUGCAAGGGAUCAACCGGAACUGACCUGGGAGGAUUUCUUAGAAGAAUUUAAUAACAAAUACUUCCCCCGUGAGGCAAUGGAUAAGAUGGAAGGUAGAUUCCAAGACAUCAGCCAGGGGUCUCGGGAUGUACGGAAGUACGGGGAAGAGUUCAACAGGCUCCGAAGGUUUGCAGGACGCCAUAUGACUGAAAAGGAACUGAUUCGCCGCUUUAUGAAAGGUUUGAGGAUCGAACUCAAGAACAACUGUAAUGUUCGGGAGUUCCGCUCCCUGAACGAACUACUGGAGAAGGCAGCCGAGCAAGAGGCAGGGAUAGAGGAGGAGCGCAAGCAGAAUCAGGCCACCCGAGCCGCGAAGCGUCCUCGCGAAACUACCACCCCUGUGGACAACGGAACAGUCCGCACGCUUUGCACAGAGUGCGGGAAGAUGCACUACGGAGAGUGUAAGGGAACAGGAUGUUUCAAAUGCGGACAACCGGGGCAUAUCAAACGGAACUGUCCGCAGCUCAAUGACGGGUCGGUUACCAAGACCCCCAAUAUCACAUGUCAGCUGUGUGGACGUUACGGGCAUGCGGCCCGGGACUGUCGCGACCGGACUGAAGCAGGGACCGGAGCUGCGCUUCCGGCGCCACCGCCAAAGAAGCCAGCAACUCAACCGAGAGUGUUCGUCGCAGGGAACAUCCAGGGAGCUGAGACCAUAGCAGAUAAAUAGUCUUUCUCUAGCUCUUUAUAUCGAAUAAAAAAAAAAGGAAGUUUUAGGAAAAAGGUAAAAUAGACACUUAGUUAUAGUCUCCGUGUAGGGAGGGUGAAGGUCGGAGGAGUUGUAGCUUACACACUCUUCGACACGGGAGCCACCCACAGUUUCGUGAGCCAGGCCCUAACCAAGAAGUGGAACUUUCAGGGGAAGUACGAGGCACGAACCACCCGGGUCGAGACCGCGGGUCCAGACGAGAUAUCCGCCAUGGGAGUAUACAUGGGAGUGACCGUAGAACUCGCCGGAGUGGUUAUGCCAGUAGACUUGCUGGAACUAGAAAUGGGGCGGUACGAGGUGAUACUCGGAAUGGACUGGUUAUCACGAUACGGAACGGUUAUCCACUGUAACGGAGCAAACAUACGGAUUCCCAGAGAGGGAGGACGAGUAGUGUUCGAAGGAUCGAAAACUAAGACCGGGGUCACAAUCAUAUCAAUGGCACAAGCUGGAGACCUAAUUAAAAAGGGACACGAUGCUUACUUAGCCACGAUAGAAAUGUUGGAAGCACCAAAAUGACCGAGUUUGGAGGAUGUGGCUGUAACGAAUGAAUUCGCGGAUGUAUUCGAACCACUACAGGGACCACCACCAAAUCGGGACAGUGCGUUCUCCAUUGAGUUGGAACCGGGAACUGCACCCGUCUCCAAGGCCCCAUACCGCCUGGCGCCAGCAGAGAUGACCGAGUUACGGGAACAGUUGGAAGACUUGAUAAGUAAGGGUUUUAUACGACCCAGUAGCUCGCCUUGGGGAGCUCCAGUGUUAUUCGUAAGGAAGAAGGAUGGGAGUUUGAGACUCUGCAUUGACUAUAGAGGAUUAAAUAAGGUGACUAUCAAGAACAAAUACCCACUACCUCGAAUCGACGAAUUGUUGGAUCAGCUAGAAGGAGCAACAUGGUUUUCCAAAAUCGACCUCGCGUCAGGAUAUCACCAAAUCCCUAUAGACGAAAAGGACGUACAGAAGACUGCUUUCCGCACACGUUACGGACAUUACGAGUUCGUUGUGAUGCCGUUCGGACUAACCAACGCACCAGCAGCCUUCAUGGGCAUGAUGAACAAUGUGUUUCGAGAUUACUUAGACCGUUGUGUGAUAGUGUUCAUCGACGAUAUACUCAUCUACUCGCGGAGUAAGGAAGAACAUGACUGGCACCUCCGGUUGGUGUUGGAAAAACUACGGAAACAUAAGUUGUUCGCGAAGUUAAGUAAGUGUAGCUUCUGGCAGAGGAAGAUAGGAUUCCUCGGACAUGUCAUCACAGAAGCUGGAGUAGCAGUAGAUCAGGAAAAGAUUAAAGCCAUAACCCAAUGGCCUACCCCGAGGAAUGCCACGGAAGUAAGGAGCUUCCUAGGGUUGGCAGGGUAUUACCGGAAAUUCGUACGGGAUUUCGCCACUACAGCAAAGCCUCUCACCCGACUAACCGGGAAGGAUACCAAGUUCGAUUGGGCAGAAACCUGCACAAAGGGGUUCGAACAACUCAAAUGCCAACUGACCCAGACGCCUGUUCUUGUCUUGCCACGAACCGGUGUACCUUUCGUGGUAUACACGGACGCCUCGGGGGUGGGGGUAGGGUGCGUACUUAUGCAAGAAGAACGAGUAAUCGCUUAUGCGUCACGACAACUGAAGAAGCACGAAGUCAACUACCCCACCCAUGACCUGGAACUCGCUGCCGUUGUCUUCGCCCUAAAGAUCUGGCGGGCUUAUCUGUACGGAGAAAAGGUGCAGAUUUUCACGGAUCACAAAAGUCUAAAGUACGUCUUCACACAGGCUGACCUGAACCUUAGACAAAGAAGGUGGAUGGAAAUGUUGGCUGAUUUCGAUCUACAGAUUGAUUACCACCCCGGGAAAGGAAACCCGGUAGCAGAUGCACUGAGCAGGAGAAGGACCGAUGUCUCAGGAGCUAGGGAGGUACAAGAACUCUCGGGGAUGCUGGCGACUCUGAGCUUGAGGGCCACGACGGUUCAGGAAGAUGGAAUGGGACUCGAGGCAUUGGAUCAGGCCGAUUUGCUAUGGAGAAUCAGAGAGGAACAGCGGAAUGACAUCAACUUACAGGAGAAGAUUAGUAAGCAAGUCGUAGGUUAUCGUACCGCAGAGAAUGGAACCAUCCUAUUCAGGAAUCGGGUCAGUGUUCCUAACAAUUGGGACCUUAGGAGGGAAAUUUUGAGACAAGCACAUCAGACACGGUUCUCCAUUCAUCCCGGGAGUACCAAGAUGUAUCGGGACCUUAUGCGGUACUAUCACUAGGAAGGAGUGAAAAAUGAUGUGGCCACCUGGGUCUCCCAGUGUCCCACUUGUCAAGUGGUAAAGGCAGAGAAGAGGGUACCAAGUGGUUUACUGCAAGGCUUACCCCUACCCCAAUGGAAAUGGGACAUGGUCACUAUGGACUUUGUGACAGGGCUGCCCCGGGUCACAGGUAAUAAGGAUGCAAUAUGGGUGAUAGUAGAUCGACUCACGAAGACGGCACACUUUAUCGCGAUUAAAAAGACGGACGGGGUGGAAAAACUAGCCCGCAAGUACCUAGACAUCGUGGUACGGCUGCACGGGGUGCCAGUAAGCAUCGUAUCAGAUAGGGACCCCAAGUUCACUUCGACCUUCUGGCAAGCAUUCCAGAAAGAAUUGGGCACCAAAGUACAUCUUAGCACGGCCUACCACCCCCAGACCGAUGGUCAGUCGGAACGCACAAUACAGACUCUGGAGGACAUGCUACGAUCGUGUGUCUUGGACUGGGGAGGGAAGUGGGGAGAGUACCUCCCUCUGGUGGAAUUUGCGUACAACAACAGCUACCAUUCUAGUAUCGGAAUGUCCCCAUUCGAGGCUCUGUACGGGAGGCCUUGUCGAACCCCCAUGUGUUGGACCGAAGUGGGGGAGCGAUGUGGUGUAGAACCAGACCUAAUAAGCGAGACAGUAGAACAAGUAAACGUGCUGAAGGAUCGCCUCAAGGAGGCUCACGACUGCCAGAAAAGCUACGCGGACCAGCGCCGAAAACAUCUAGAAUUCACGGUCGGGGACGAGGUAUACCUAAAGAUGCGUACGUUCCGUGGAAACGAUCCAAACCGGAAACUAAAGAAACUCAAGCCUAGAUACAUGGGUCCAUUCGUCAUCACCGAAUGGAUUGGGGCAGUAGCGUAUCGGUUGGUAUUGCCACCCGAAAUGGCAGAUUUUCAUGAUGUAUUCCACGUGUCGGUUUUACGGAAGAUGGUACGGGAGCCUGAAUUGGUACUGUCCCAGCUGCCUUGGGACGCGCAACCCAACCUAACACUGAAUAGUACCCCCAUCAGGAUAGUGGACCAGAAAGAGAUAGAGGUCCGCGGGAAAAAGGUGUGGAUGGUACUAGUGCGAUGGGAAAGAGAUGGAAUACCCGAAGAGGUAUGGGAGCGCGAGUCCCAAUUUCUGAAGGCCUACCCGGGGAUGUCUCAGGAGAGAGGCAACCAGGUUGAUACUCAGCAGAAUUCGGGGACGAAUUCAUUUCUAGUGGGGGAGAAUUGUAACACCCCGGCCCAGGCCCAAGUAGAAAAGGCCCAACAGAGGGAAACCCUAAGUAACCCUAAUCCAGAAACCUAUAUAAAGAGGAUUCUCCCUACAGCUGAGCCAUCAGACACUCACCAAGCGAAGCCCUGCGAGAUCCGAGACCGCCAGCCCACCGAGGAAGCGCCGCCGCCGAUCACCGCCCGCGUAGCCCAAGUCGCCGAUCGCGGGUACCAAGCCGCCGGUUUCUCGAUUCUGUGGCGUGUAACCGUCUUUGUUUGGAUUACUAAGGUAAACCUCAUAACCCUUGUUCUACCUAGUCACAGUAGACGACAAAUCUGAGAUCUAAAGCCUCUUCUUCCUCACCCAGAUCUUUGAGUACCCAGAUCCGGAACCCAACCUAUCCUCGCCGCUGUCUUGGAACCAGAUCGACAAUCAACUAAGGUGAGGACUUGUCUGUGAACUUUUCUCAAGAUUCCUAACAUCGUAUAGUAUUAGGGUCUAGCUGGUACGGGCUUGAUUGAUUGAUUGAUUGAUGAUUGAACUCAGUGAUGAGAUUAAUGUGUGAUAAUGGUAAAUGAUGAAAGAACCUAGUUGAACUAGGAAAAAAAAAAAGAAAGAAAGAAAGAAAAGAAAGAAAGAAAGAAAUGAGAAUGAGUCUAGAAAGACUAAGAAAAAGAACUAAGAAAUGAAUGAAAUACGACCCACCGAGGAACUGGUGGGAAGUAUGGGAACGCGGCGGCCGUAGCGUUCAAAAACGGCGGAGAUGCGGGGCCAUAGCAUCCGAUAAAAAUGGCAGGGUAAGAAUAGAGGCGCCGGUAAGAUUGAGUCACGCCGAGUCUUGGCGGGAAGGGGUCGUAAUACACUGCAAAGGCGGACCGAACCCGAGGAACUGGGCGGCGGUCCUACCAGGGCAGGCGACUCCACAGGAAGCAGCAAGAAAAGGGGAGGAAUGGUCCGCUUGAGCUGUGUAGGUCCUAGGUGUCUAGGAUGAUGAAAUAUGAACUUGCUGGUUUUUAUUAGUUUAUUCCUUAAUGCUUGCUGUGUUAUGUGUCUUGAUAUGAGUUAACGGGUUCCUGGAACCCGUCCUCACUG